This 76-nucleotide transfer RNA is filed under the name Alphaproteobacteria bacterium MarineAlpha5_Bin11. RNAcentral's name for it is "tRNA-Lys". It matches the Rfam family "tRNA". Rfam says of the family: Transfer RNA (tRNA) molecules are approximately 80 nucleotides in length. Their secondary structure includes four short double-helical elements and three loops (D, anti-codon, and T loops). The record is from RNAcentral. Lineage: Bacteria; Pseudomonadati; Pseudomonadota; Alphaproteobacteria. RNAcentral also lists the same sequence under 1 other name.
GGGCGUAUAGCUCAGCUGGUAGAGCAAGUGACUUUUAAUCACUGGGUCGCAGGUUCGAAUCCUGCUACGCUCACCA